AAUCCAUAGGUUAAUGAGGCGAACCGGGGGAACUGAAACAUCUAAGUACCCCGAGGAAAAGAAAUCAACCGAGAUUCCCCCAGUAGCGGCGAGCGAACGGGGAGGAGCCCAGAGCCUGAAUCAGCAUGUGUGUUAGUGGAAGCGUCUGGAAAGGCGCGCGAUACAGGGUGACAGCCCCGUACACAAAAGCGCAUGUGCUGUGAGCUCGAUGAGUAGGGCGGGACACGUGGUAUCCUGUCUGAAUAUGGGGGGACCAUCCUCCAAGGCUAAAUACUCCUGACUGACCGAUAGUGAACCAGUACCGUGAGGGAAAGGCGAAAAGAACCCCGGCGAGGGGAGUGAAAAAGAACCUGAAACCGUGUACGUACAAGCAGUGGGAGCCCCACCACCAAAGCAUUUGCUGUACCGCGUUGACGGAGCGAAGCGACGUCAAACCGAUAAAACAGCAGUGUAAAGUGAGCCGCAGGGCGCUUUGCGCGACAGCGCAAAGGCAGGC
This 496-nucleotide ribosomal RNA is filed under the name Salmonella enterica subsp. enterica serovar Enteritidis. Its description in RNAcentral is "partial 23S ribosomal RNA". The stretch from base 1 to 366 matches the Rfam family "Bacterial large subunit ribosomal RNA", at positions 161 to 565 of the family's 2925-position model. The record is from RNAcentral. Lineage: Bacteria; Pseudomonadati; Pseudomonadota; Gammaproteobacteria; Enterobacterales; Enterobacteriaceae.